AUUUAUCAUUUAUUUUAUCGUAGGAAAAUUACAUUUUAUUUAUUAUUUAAAAAAGAAAGGUAGAAAAAUCCAGCGGGAACACCCGCACGGGCUUCCACACUAUUCACGCAAGCAUGCGCGCGGCCAGCGUAGUGCGCGAGGAGCAGUCUGCACGCGAGUCUCAUUGCGCGUAGAUGGGUGCAGCUUCGUGCACCCUGUGUGUGCACCAUCCGCGCAGUAGGUCUACACAGUGGCCUGUGUGCAUAGGCCUAUGGGCGCGGCAGGCUAGGUCGACGCAUGUCGCAGGCUACGCCUCCGACAUGCCACAGUCGCUUGGGCGACGUGCCGCCGAUGUUUGGGUUGCGUACCACUAGUUUUUGUGCUGUUGCGUAUUGUUUCAUUCAUCUGUCGGUCACGUCCAUCGUCAUCACAUCUAACUUUUCCUAUUGACUUUCUCUCUCCUCACCAGAUUUUAUCACUUCGCGUAAAUCUAACGGUCCCCAUUUUCUAUAAAUAGGGACCCUCUCUUCACCAUUUUCUCAUAACUUAUAUUUCCAUUCUUCCAUCCUCCAAGAGUUUUAGAGAGAGAAAGGGAGAGGAGGAGAAGAA
RNAcentral lists this long non-coding RNA (588 nucleotides) under Carica papaya (papaya). RNAcentral's name for it is "long non-coding RNA (CPAP_LNC009281)". Lineage: Eukaryota; Viridiplantae; Streptophyta; Magnoliopsida; Brassicales; Caricaceae. The record is from RNAcentral.